UUUUUUUUUGUUUUUGUUCUUCACUGAUAUCUUAUACGUAUUUCAUUGGAUUUAACAUGACAUAGUACUAAUUUAUUUUUAAAUUUUUUUAGUAUGGCUAUUAAUUUUUGUAUUAAGAAUAUUUCGUUCCUAGCAAAAAUUUGCGAAUUUUCAAAAUUUCCCACAUAUUUAGUUAAUUUUUUGACCUUGGUACUGACCAGAAAAUGGCCAGCAAUUCAAAAAAUGGAAAAUGGGAUGCAAUAAAUUCCAUAUGAAUUAGAAAAUGAGUAAAAAUUAUAAAAAUAAUAGCAAAUGGGCUGUACACGUCACAGAUUUCGAGGCUGACUUGUUUACGCAAGGCUUUGUCAGUGAACACACGAUUCUAGCAGCAGUUAGUGUUGGAUGUCCAUCCAACGGCCGACGUGCUUCUUCAAUCUCUGAUCUUCCUGCUCCAGCCGCCUAAACUAGCGCCGGCGGGACUGCCUGCUCCCUCCUCUUGUGGCCCGUUGUGAUGCCGCGCAGGCUUCCCCGGCCCACCCUACUCCCUCCGCUAGCCUGGCCGCACGCAAUCAACUGCCUCCUUAUUACACGAAAAAAAUAAUUCCUCCCACUGACAUCUGGGGUGCACCGGUUGGGAGGCUAACCUGUGGGCCUACUAAGUUGACGUGUACGCAUGGCUUGUCAACUUAGUCAACAAACGAUUCUAGCAGUAGUAACCAUUGGAUUUGAAUCGAACGGUCCUGCUGCUUCUUCAAUCGCUGCUCUUCUUGCACCAGCCGCCCAAACCAGCACCGGGGAGACCGCCUACUCCUGCCUCCAGUGGCCGGUUGUGCUGCCGAUGAGGCCUCAUCGCCCCCUACUACUCCCACCGCUAGUCAGGCCCUGCGGCGACGGCAGCCUCACGCCGCAGCCGAACUAGUGAACAUUCGUACUCCUCUCCGUGUGGGCAUCCACUGUCGCAUCUUCCCCGGCUUCACGUCGUCCCCUUCCUAGGCCUCGCCAUCGUCCACCGCCUUGGUGCUCUCGGCGCGGCAUGGUCAACGUGGUCGACGACAUUCCAUUGGAAGAGUACUGUACGUGGAGAGGAUGACAGCUAGGUCCACGGCCACAGCCCAGUUUUUUGUGAUUUGCCAAGUAAGUCGCACUGUCAGGCCUGUUGGGCUGCAAAUCUUUCAAGACGAGGAGAGCUUUCAUUCGGCUGGCCGAGAAAAUGGCCCAUCAGUAAUGAGAAAUGGGUUGUACAUUUUUAAAACACAUCAAACCGGCAAUUAGUUUCAAAUAUCUUUUCUUCAUUUCGAGAUUUGAAAUUACAUUAAUUUUUAUGUGUGGAGAAUUUGUUGGAUUUUAUAUUGAUAUACAUUUAUUUUUAAAAUCAGUUUGAAUGUGAGUCGAAAUUUCGGGAUUAAAAACAGUUCGGACCGCACCGAAAUAUGCAAAAUUUCGUAUAAUUUUUUAACCGUGGCCACAAUAUGGGCUGUAAUGCUAACAAAAAGAAUAUGGGCUCCAAAAUAACCUUAAUAAUUAGCAAACGGGCUGUAAAUUAUUAGAAAUAAUGGCAGAUGGGUUGUAUGCUGUUUCCCAUAGAUUUGAGGCUUUCCUAAAAAAAAGGUUGACGCACAAGCAGUGACUGUUGGAUGGCCAUCCAAUGGCCGUCGUGCUUCUUCAAUCUCUACUCUUCCUGCUCCAGCCGCUCAAACAGGCACCGGCGGGACUGCCUGCUCCCUCCUCCCCGCGGCCAGCUCUGCUACCGCGCAGGCCUCACCGCCCCACCGUACUCCCAUCGCUGGCCUAGCCAUCCCUCUACUCACCCACACCUGUUGUUAUUCUCCAGCGAUGGCAGAUGAACCAGUAAACCCUCGCACAGUCGUACUCCCCUCCGCGUGGGAAACAACUGUUGAGUCUUCCCUGCCUCCAUGUCGUUUCCUUCCUAGGCCUCGCCGUCGUCCACCGCCCUGGUGCUCUCGGCGCGGCCUGGUCAAUGUGGUCAAUGACCGACAUGCAUCUGAAGUGGACUGUAUGUGGAGAGGCCGACAGCUGGGUCCACGGCCGCACGCAAGGAAAUGCCUCCUUAUUACGCGCAAAAUAAUGAUUCCUCCACCUGACAUCAGGGACCCACCGAAAGGGCCACUGUAUUUCAUGAAAAACAUUACCGCCGCUGACAGCUCGGACCCACCAGCUAUAUCUUCGCACGCAAGGAAGUGCCUCCUUAUUACGCUAAAAAAAUUGAAUACCCCCUGCUAGCUGGGACCCACCUUGGUGGGAGGCUGACUUGUGGGCCUACUAAGUUGACGGGGACGGAGGGCUUUGUCAACUUAGUCAAUAUGCACGAUUCUAGCUCCAGUGAUCGUACGAUGUCCAUCCAACGGCCGUAGUGCUUCUUCAACCUCUGGUCCUCUUGCUCCAGCCGCCCAAACCAGCGCCGGUCGUGCCUCGUGCUCCUGCCUCCCAUGGCCGGCUGCGAUGCGGCGGAGGCCUCACCGCCCCCUACUACUCCCACUGCUAGCCAGGUCAUCCCUCUACUCACCCACACCCCCUGUUAUUCUGCUGCGACUGCAGCCUCACACUGCAGCGAACCAAUGAACCCUCGUACUCCUCUACGCGUGGGCAUCCACUGCCGCGUCUUCCCCGGCUCUGUGUCGUCCCCUUCCUAGGCCUCGCCGUCGUCCACCGCCCUGGUGCUCUCGGCGCGGCGUGAUCAACGUGGUCAAGGAACGGCUUCCAUCGGACGUGGACUGUAUGUGGAGAGGCUGACAGCUGGGUCCACGACCGCAGCAAGGAAGUGCCUCCUUAUUACGUGCAAAAUAAUUAUUCCUCCACCUGACAGCGGGACCCACCGGACGGGCCACCGUAUUUUGCGAAAAAAACGUUUCCCCUGACUGCUGGGACCCACCAGAUACAUCUUCACACGCAAGGAAGUGCGUCCAGGCAAAAAAAUGAUUCGCCCCCUGACUGCAGGCAAGGAAGUGCCUGACAGUCGAGACCGACCAGCUACAUCUUCGCAGGCAAGGAAGUGCCUGACAGUCGGGACCCACCUGGUCGAAGCGUACGUAGUGUUGUCAUUCUGGUCGUGAACGUGUACGUACAUACUGGUCGAUGUAGAGGCGCGCGUGUCAUAGUAGAGGUGCGCACGUGUCGUAGUAGAGGCGCGCACGUAGCAUUUACACGUACGUACAGCGGCCAGGGUGCAAGAAAGAAAAUACGGCCACGUAUGUGUACAUAUGGGCAGGGUCUCGAACGCCUACUCGCGCAUACGUACAGCCAGGGCUCGUGUACAUGGCUGGGUCGGAACGGAGAAACAGUGUCGUCAUCAUGUUCGUGGGGAGGCAAUGGAAUGCGUCGUGUUCAUGGGGAGGCAACGGAAUGCGUCGUGUUCAUCGGGAGGGCUUGGACGGAACCGGCGAUGGAAACGAGGCCUGGCGUACCGCAGAACUGGGGAAACGGCCUUGUGUUCGACCGGCCAUGUUCGAAACGGGAUCAUGUUCAUCGGGAGGGGUCUGGCAUACCGCAAAACAGAGGAAACGGACCUCCUAUGGUCGAAACGGGGGUCCUGUUGAUCGGGAGGGGUGUGGUGUACCGCAAAAUGGAGGAAACGGACUUGUGUUGGAGCGCUACGGUCGAAACGGGGGUCCUGUUCAUCGGGAGGGGUGUGGCAUACCACAAAACGGGACUCCACGGGAUACUGUUCAUCUCCACCGUCGACCUCCUCCAGCCUCCAUGGGCUCCUGUUCAUCUAGCCUCCACCGUGCACUACUCCACCGGCUACUGUUCAACCACCCCUCCACUCUACUGUUCAUCCAGCCCUCCACACCACGGGAUCCUGUUCAACCACCCCUNNNNNNNNNNNNNNNNNNNNNNNNNNNNNNNNNNNNNNNNNNNNNNNNNNNNNNNNNNNNNNNNNNNNNNNNNNNNNNNNNNNNNNNNNNNNNNNNNNNNNNNNNNNNNNNNNNNNNNNNNNNNNNNNNNNNNNNNNNNNNNNNNNNNNNNNNNNNNNNNNNNNNNNNNNNNNNNNNNNNNNNNNNNNNNNNNNNNNNNNNNNNNNNNNNNNNNNNNNNNNNNNNNNNNNNNNNNNNNNNNNNNNNNNNNNNNNNNNNNNNNNNNNNNNNNNNNNNNNNNNNNNNNNNNNNNNNNNNNNNNNNNNNNNNNNNNNNNNNNNNNNNNNNNNNNNNNNNNNNNNNNNNNNNNNNNNNNNNNNNNNNNNNNNNNNNNNNNNNNNNNNNNNNNNNNNNNNNNNNNNNNNNNNNNNNNNNNNNNNNNNNNNNNNNNNNNNNNNNNNNNNNNNNNNNNNNNNNNNNNNNNNNCAUCCCAUCUAUCGGCUUCAGUUAGCAGCAGUAGCGAAGGAAUCGCUCGAUCGGGUUCAGUUAACAGCCAUCGAUCGAUCGCUCGGGUUCAGUAAUGCGUAGCCUGCAGUGCAAUCGCUCGUGUUCAGUUAGAGCCCAAUGCCUCGCUCGGCUUCAGUUAGAGCCAAUGCCUCGCGCACACGCGCAUACAUGUAUGAGAGAAACGCGCAUCGCUCGGCCCCCAACCUCCCACCGUAACCGGGAACUCCCCGAAAUUUUCCUCUCCCUCGCUUCUACCAUGGUUUUUUCCGUCAUGGACAGCCCAAAGAGUGUCAUGCAGCUGCAUCUCUGGCCCGCCCAGGACGAAAAGCCCAUUUUCUGUCAUGAUUUUUUGUCAUAGAAGUAGGAGCCCACCACAUCUAUGAUGAUAUCGGGUUUUGUCACAAUUAUCGUCAUAGAAGUGUCAUAUGUAUGACAAAAAAAUUCCUUCGGCCCAAAAUGUCAUGGCUGUGUCUUUUUUUGUAGUGCAAUCAUGAGAGAUUCUGAAGAGGAAGAGGAAGAAGAUGCUGCACCAGCACCCAAAGCUCAGAAGCUUAUGGGUGAUGCCAUCAGGGCAGGGGCUGUUCCAUCUAAGCCUAAGACUGCUCCUAAGGCUGCUGCUCUAGCUCCAAAGCCAAAACCAAAGAGGAGCACCAGGAACAUCCCUACUGAGGAGAAGAACAAGGCCCCAGUGCCUGAUGCUGAAAUGGAAGAAGAAGAUGAUGAGUCACGUGUCUUGAGGAAGUUGAAGCCAAAAAUUCCAGAUCACAAUGAUGCUCAUCCAGUAGCUGAAAACAUGAAGAUAAGGAAGGACUCGGGAUUGAGGCUAUGGAGAGAGUCAGAUCCAUAUGCCACCAGAAGGAGAACUGUUGUGGACUACAGGUUCCAUACAAUGGAACAAUAGGACUUCUAUGAGACAUUGUUGCUUGACAAGAAGCCCAUAGUGUGUGACAUGAGAUGGGUCGACUGGGAGUAGAUCAGGGAGAAUGAUGAACACUAUCCAGGUGUAUAUGACAGUUUCAAGGCUUGUGGAGUUGAUGAGUUUGUGGCUCAGAAGCUCGCAAAAUGGAAUGAUGAGCUCAUCAUGCAGUUCUACUCCAUAGCUCACUUCUAACCAGAUGGAAGGAUUGUCUGGAUGUCUGAAGGCACUAGGUACCAGUCAACGGUUGCUGAAUGGGCGAAAUUGAUCAAUGCUCCAAAAGAGAGUGAAGGUGACUUGGAUGUCUAUGCCAAGAAGAAGAAGGAUCAUAACACCAUGGCACACAUGUACAAGGAGAUCCCAGAUGCUGCUCUUGAGACACACAAGUUUGGAUCUGUACAUUACCUUCUAUCAGGCUUGCCAACUAUCAACUGGAUCCUCAGGCACACUCUCUUGCCAAAGUCAGGUGAUCACAAGAUGAUCAGAGGCCAUGCAAUUAACUUGCUUCACAUCUUUGAUGUCCCACAGAAGUUCAAAGUCAUGAGCCUAAUAGUUGAAACUAUCAAGAGGACAGCUGCAGAUCAGAAGAGGAGUUGUGGGUAUGCCCCACAGAUCCAGGAGCUGAUUAACUCCAAGAUGGGCACUGGCACAUAUCUGCUAGACAAGGAGCACCUGCCCAUCUACCUAGAAUUUGAGGACAACACUGUGGUGAUGGAUGAAAAUGAACCAUCUUCUGUGCACGCACAAGCAAAGAAGGAGAAGGAGAAGGCUAAAAAGGCUGCAAGGAUGCCAACUACUGAAGAAGCAUCUCAGUAUCUUCUGAAGAGCAAGCAAGAUCAGCUUGGCUACUUGAUUGCCUCCACUCUGAGGAUUGAGAAGGGAUUGGCCACCCUGACUCUAAACCAGGAGAGCCUGGAAAGGAUCGUGGAACAGAAGUUCUAUGACUUGGAUGUGAAGGUAACUGAGAUCCAGUCUGUUGUGGAGCAACUUUAGGAUGAUAUGCAGGAGAGGAAGGGAAAGACAACCACUGAUGCAUUUGCCAGAGUGACUAGAGCUCAGAGGUCUGCUGCAGUGCCUGUUCCAGACACCAGAGCCACUUCAUCUGCACUAGCGACAGCUUCAGUGCCACCAGCUCCAGCACCUACUCCAUCAGCUCCAUCUACUUCGACUGAAGCCUUCGUUCCUGGAGUUAUCCGGACACCACCACCUGAAGACCAAGCCUGAGAGACGAUUUAGUGCUAUGCAUUUUCUAGGAACUUUUUGGUAACUUGUUGCCAAAGGGGGAGAAAAAUGUAUAGAUCAUAGGCUUCAAGAGAGAGCGUUGCUUUUUAUUCUCUCUUGCUUUGGUGGUUGAAGUUUAUUUGCUUGUUUGAGAUACUUUCUGUCUGCGUGAUACUUGGAUGAUCAUGUGUUUGAUCAUAUGCUACUUUAAUGCUUGUUGGAUGACAUUAUCUUUUUAUCCCUAUAUGAUCAUUCGCUUUGCUUGGUGAUGAGUGCAUGUAUUUAAUUAUUAUCAUUUUGAGCACUCCACCAAGAUGUAUGUGACCUGGAAGAGUAACCCAUGAGCCUAACUCUUUAUGCAUUUGCAUUCCAAAGCAAAUCAUAAACUAUGCACAAAUUUAGGGGGAGCUCUUGCUUUUCACAUACUUCUCAAAGCGACAAUGUUUUUCACUCUUAUUAUCAUUCAUCGAAGCUUUGAUCUAUAUGUUGUCAUCAAUUACCAAAAAGGGGGAGAUUGAAAGUGCAACUAUCCCUAGGUAGUUUUGGUAAUUCCUAACAACAUAUAGCCCAUUGAGCUAAUGCUAUUCCAAGAUUAAUAUUUCAGGAAAAGCUCAAUGAAUGGCAUGGCAUGGAUGAGGAAAGUGGAUGCCUCAAAAUAUUAAGGACAAAAAGAUUGGCUCAAGCUCAAAGCUCAAGACUCUACAUUUUAUAUUUUAGUGAUCCAAGAUCACAUUGAGUCUAUAGGAAAAGCCAAUGCUAUCAAGGAGGGAUGAGGUGUUUCUUAAUGGCGUUCUUGCUUCAUAGUGCUUAGUGGUAUGCUCCAAAACCCUCAACUACCUUCCCACAUCCACAUAUGACCUAAACCAAAAGUCAAACUCGGCCCCACCGAUUCUUUCUAUCCGGCGCCACCGAGUUCAGAUGUCAUAGCCACUGCCACAAACCCUAGGAAAAUCGGUCUCACCAAUAGGGAUCUCGGUCACACCGAGAUGGGGUUGUAAUCUCUCUGUUUCCCUUCAUAACGUUUCGGUCCUACCGAGAUGAGCGAUCGGUCCCACCGAGAUUGCAAUGUAAACUCUCUGUUUCCCUUUUGUAACAUUUUGGUCCCACCGAAAUGAGAAAAUCGGUCCCACCGAGUUUACCUGACCAACUCUCUGGUUAGCUUAUUACCAAAAUCGGUCCCACCGAGUUUGUGUAAUCGGUCACACCGAGAUUACGUUAUGCCCUAACCCUAACCAUAUCGGUCCUACCGAGUUGCAUCUCAGUCCCACCGAAAAUCCUAACGGUUACUAGGUUUGCUAAAUCGGUCCGACCGAGUUUCUCAAUUCGGUCUCACCGAGAUUGGUAAAUUGUGUGUAACGGUUAGUUUUUGUGUGGAGGCUAUAUAUACCCCUCCACCCACUCUUGAUUCGUGGAGAGAGCCAUCAGAACAUACCUACACUUCCAAUACACAUUUUCUGAGAGAGAACCACCUACUCAUGUGUUGAGGCCAAGAUAUUCCAUUCCUACCAUAUGAAUCUUGAUCUCUAGCCUUCCCAAGUUGCUUUCCACUCAAAUCUUCUUUCCACCAAAUCCAUAUCCUGUGAGAGAGAGUUGAGUGUUGGGGAGACUAUCAUUUGAAGCACAAGAGCAAGGAGUUCAUAAUCAACACACCAUUUGUUACUUCUUGGAGAGUGGUGUCUCCUAGAUUGGCUAGGUGUCACUUGGGAGCCUCCGACAAAGAUUGUGGAGUUGAACCAAGGAGUAUGUAAGGGCAAGGAGAUCGCCUACUUCGUGAAGAUCUACCGCUAGUGAGGCAAGUCCUUCGUGGCCAUGAUGGGAUAGACAAGGUUGCUUCUUUGUGGACCCUUCGUGGGUGGAGCCCUCCGUGGACUCGCACAACCGUUACCCUCCGUGGGUUGAAGUCUCCAUCAAUGUGGAUGUACGAUAGCACCACCUAUCGGAACCACGACAAAACAUUUGUGUCUCCAAUUGCGUUUGAAUUUUCCAAACCCUUCCCUUUACAUUCUUGCAAAUUGCAUGCUUUACUUUCCACUGCUCAUAGACUCUUUGCAUGCUUGCUUGAAUUGUGUUAAGAUUGCUUGACUUGUGCUAAGAUAGCUAAAAUCUGCCAAAGACUAAAUUGGGAAAAUGAUAGAUUUUUAAUUGGUCAAGUAGUCUAAUCACCCCCCCCCCCUCUAGACAUACUUUCGAUCCUACACUUUUCUUCAACUUUAAUAGGUUCAACUACUUUUACUUCAAUGGGAGGAUGAUAUUUAAACCACUUCUCCUUAGGGAGAUCAACAUGAGUAGCAAAUGAUUCACAAAAAGAAGCUACUAUCUCAGUGUCAAGUCCAUAUUUAGUUCUAAAUUCACGAAAAGCAUCGGUAUCCAUAAAAGAUUUAACACAAUCAAACUUAGGUGUUAUACUUGACUCCUUACCUUCGUCGAGUUCCCAAUCUUCAGAGUUGCAUUUAAUUCUUUCCAAUAAAUCCCAUCUUAAUUCAAUAGUCUUCAUCAUAAAAGAACCAGUACAAGAAGUAUCGAGCAUGGAGCGAUUACUGAGAGAAAGCCGAGCAUAAAAUUUUUGAAUAAUAAUUUCUCUUAAGAGCUCAUGAUUGGGGCAUGAAUAUAACAUUGAUUUAAGCCUCCCCCAAGCUUGAGCGAUACUUUCUUCUUCGCGAGGCCAAAAAUUAUAUAUAUAAUUACGAUCACGAUGAACCAGAUGCAUAGGAUAAAACUUCUGAUGAAAUUCCAAUUUCAAUCGGUUGUAGUUCCAUGAUCCAAUAUCAUCACAUAGCCUAAACCCUGUCAAUGCCUUUCCCUUCAAAUAUAAAGGGAAGACCUUCUUCUUGAUAACAUCCUCGGGCAUACCUGCAAGCUUAAAUAAUCCACAAACUUCAUCCACAUAGAUUAGGUGCAUAUCAGGAUGUAAUGUUCCAUCUCUUGUAAAAGGAUUAGCUAGCAGUUUCUCUAUCAUAUCCGAAGGAAUUUCAAAGUAAACAUUUUCAGUAGGUUCAGUAGCUUGAGGAGCAACUCUUUGCUCUACUAGUCGGGGUGAAGAUACCCCGAACAAGCCCCUCAAAGGAUUGUUUUCCAUAGUAACAAGUGAUAGUAAAUUUCCGCACACUAUAUAAAUUUUUCCUUACCAAAUUCCACUUACUAAAGGCGCUUCACUCCCCGGCAACGGCGCCAGAAAAGAGUCUUGAUGAACCACAAGUAUAGGGAUCUAUCAUAGUCCUUUCGAUAAGUAAGAGUGUCGAACCCCACGAGGAGCAGAAGGAAAUGACAAGCGGUUUUCGGUAAGGUAUUCUCUACAAGCACUGAAAUUAUCGGUAACAGAUAGUUUUGUGAUAAGGUAAUUCGUAACGGGUAACAAGUAAUAAAAGUAAACAAGGUGCAGCAAGGUGGCCCAAUCCCUUUUGUAGCAAAGGACAAGCCUGGAAAAACUCUUAUAUAAAGGAAAGCGCUCCCGAGGACACAUGGGAAUUAUCGUCAAGCUAAUUUUCAUCAUGCUCAUAUGAUUCGCGUUCGUUAUUUUGAUAAUUUGAUAUGUGGGUGGACCGGUGCUUGGGUACUGCCCUUCCUUGGACAAGCAUCCCACUUAUGAUUAACCCCUCUCGCAAGCAUCUGCAACUACAAAAGAAGAAUUAAGGUAAACCUAACCAUAGCAUGAAACAUAUGGAUCCAAAUCAGCCCCUUAGGAAGCAACGCAUAAACUAGGGUUUAAGCUUCUGUCACUCUAGCAACCCACCAUCUACUUAUUACUUCCCAAUGCCUUCCCCUAGGCCCAAAUAAUGGUGAAGUGUCAUGUAGUCGACGCUCACAUAACACCACUAGAGGAAAGACAACAUACAUCUCAUCAAAAUAUCGAACGAAUACCAAAUUCACAUGACUACUUAUAGCAAUACUUCUCCCAUGUCCUCGGGAACAAACAUAACUACUCACAAAUCAUAUUCAUGUUCAUAAUCAGAGGGGUAUUAAUAUGCAUAAAGGAUCUGAACAUAUAAUCUUCCACCGAAUAAACCAACUAGCAUCAACUACAAGGAGUAAUCAACACUACUAGCAACCCACAGGUACCAAUCUGAGGUUUUGAGACAAAGACCGGAUACAAGAGAUGAACUAGGGUUUGAGAGGAGAUGGUGCUGGUGAAGAUGUUGAUGGAGAUUGACUCCCUCCCGAUGAGAGGAUCGAUGGUGAUGACGAUGGUGACGAUUUCCCCCUCCCUGAGGGAUGUUUCCCCGGCAGAACAGCUCCACCGGAGCCCUAGAUUGGUUCCGCCAAGGUUCCGCCUCGAGACGAUGGCACUUCGUCCUGAAAGCUUCCUUCUUAUUUUUCCAGGGCAAAAGACACCUUAUAGCAAAAGAUGGGCAUCGGGGGCCUGCCUGGUGGCCCAUGAGGCAGGGGGCGCGCCCAGGGGGUAGGGCGUGCCCCCCACCCUCGUGGAUGGUGGCUGGCUCCCCUCUGGUGCUUUCUUCGCCCAAUAUUUUUAAUAUAUUCCAAAACUGACUUUCAUGGAGUUUCAGGACUUUUGGAGUUGUGCAGAAUAGGUCUCUAAUAUUUGCUCCUUUUCCAGCCCAGAAUUCCAGCUGUCGGCAUUCUCCCUCUUCAUGUAAACCUUGUAAAAUAAGAGAGAAAAGGCAUAAGUAUUGUGACAUAAUGUGUAAUAACAUCCCAUAAUGCAAUAAAUAUCGAUAUAAAAGCAUGAUGCAAAAUGGACAUAUCAAUGGGAGAAGUCUAUUGCUAGUAAUCAUGUGAAGUUGAAUACUGUUUAAUGUUUUGAUGAUAAUAUUAUGUUGUUCUUUCUCUAGUGGUGUCAUGUGAACGUCGACUACAUGACACUUCACCAUCAUAUGGCCUAGGAGAAGACAUUGUGGAAGUAGUUUGUAGAUGAUGGGAUGCGAGAGAAAUAGAAACCUAAACCCCAUCUUAUGAAUUAUUCCGCAAGGGACUGUUUUGGAUCCUUAUGUUUAAUGCUAUGGUUAAAUUUAUCUUAAUUACAUCUCUUGUAUUUGUGGAUGCUUGCAUGGAGGGUAUAGUCAUACAUAGAUAUUUGUUCAAAUAAGUACAAUACCUUAGCUCUGAUCCACCCACACAAGACUUAUCACAGCAAUGAACAGUAACUUAAUGAAUCGUGUUGAAAGUAACUUGACGUGAUUCCCGUGAAUCAUCAAGAGCGUUUUAAUCCCUAUAAGAAACACAACCGACUUGUCCUUAGCAUACAUAAGGAUUGAGCCGCUUGCUGCACUAUAUUGCUUUUGUUACUAUUUAUCUUGUUACUAAUUAUCUUGCUAUGAAGCAACCUAUCAAAUUAUCUUUGCAACAUUUGCAGUGAAACUUUGUUGAAAACUACUUGUCAAUUCCUUCUUCUCAUCGUUGGCUUCGACACUCACUUAUCGAAAAGGCUACAACUGAUCCCCUAUACUUGUGGGUCAUCAAGACUCUUUUUGGCGCCAUUGCCGGGGAGCGUACCACUCUUUGCUAAGUAUAAUUUGGUAAGAAAAACCUUUAUUGUACUUGUUGUUUUUCAUUUUUGUUUGUUCCUUUGCUUCACUAUGGAAGAUAAUCCCUUAAGAGGCUUAUUUGGAGUGACUUCCCCAUGUGAAGAAGUGGUGAGGGAGGAACCCCCACCUACUGAAAAUGUUUAUUUCAAAAUACCUAUUGCCAUCCUUGAGCAAGUAAGAGUUAACCGCUAUGCAGGAGAUGGAAAGAUUCAUCCUAAUAUGCAUUGGAUCGUUAUAAAAGAAUUAUGUGGUAUAUUCAAGCUUUUAGGUUUGCCAAAUAGGGAGGUUAAGAAGAAGAUAUUCCCUUGUCUUUGGUGGCAAAUGCAUUAGCAUGGUUCAAGCUAUUGGAUUAUCCGCAGUCAUGGAACUAGAAACAACUAAAAUCUGCCUUUCACUCAAAAUUCUAUCAUAUGCACUUGAUUCAUUGUAAAUGGAAUUUUAUCUAUAACUUUUGGCAUCAUUAAGGAGAAAGUAUGGUUCAAGCUUGAGGGAGGCUUAACUCAUUAAUUCCUAGAUGACGUAAUCAUGAGCUCUCUAUAGAAUUUUUUGUUCAUGAUUUUUAUGCAAGACUUUCUCUUUGCGAUAAAGAAAUGCUUGAUGCUUCUUCUGCUAGUUAUUUUACAAGUAAAUGUAUUGAUUACAAAUGGGAUCUUAUUGAAGGAUUCAAUGCAAUGCUAAACAUUGGGAAGUCAACCAAGGUAAAGAAUCAGGUAUAAAUCUUGAAUAUGAUUGUGUUAAGUCUUUCGUUGAAAUAGAUUUUUUUAAAGGACUUAGUGCUAAGUAUGGACUUGAUUCUCAAAUAGUUGCCAACUUCUAUAAAUCUUUUGCUGCUCAUAUUGAUCUCCCUAAGAAGAAAUAUUUAAAUAUCAUGAACCCAUUAAAUAUACUUGUAAACAAACUAUCAUUGCUAAUAAUGAAAGGGAUGAUCGGUUUUAUACCCUUAGUUGGGUACCACUCGUCAGGAUUGCACCUAGUUUUGGAAAACAUGCAGUCUUGCCCAACUCAGUUCGAUUAUCUUGUGCUUUUGCCCUUCCAGCACGGCUCCGUCCAGUCAGCGCCGUUUGACCGUAAGCGGCGCUAGAUUUUGGACAUUUUUUGCCCCUAUCGGUGCUACACUUAAUACCCUUUCGUCCUCAGUGAGCUCGCGCAAAAAACAGAGGAGCAAAGCAAAGCCGGCAAGGCGAGGCCUGGCGAGGAAGAGGAUGGAGCGGCACAGCACGGCGAGCUCGGGCUCCUCCAACUACUCGCAGAUGGCCAGUGAGGUAAGUGAACAUCAGUGUGUGCCUUCCUCCACCCCCAGUUCGUUCUAGGGUUUCUAGGGUUUGUGAUAUUUGGGGGGAAAUUUUGAGUUUCCUUCCCUUCCAUUUGGUUUAGGUUGAUGGGGCUAAUAUUGUGCAGCUCGUCUCUGAGUUCUAUCUUCCCGAUGACACCUAUUGUGGAUUGGAGUAUCGUUCAAAGCAUCGUUACCCUGGUCACAGCCUUGUUCCUGCCCGCCGUGUUUCCUGGGGAGGGGCAAGCACUGGCCUCUGGUUUUUACGGUGUCCUUUAGAUGUAAAUUUUGUGAAUUUGAGCAUAUAUUAGUUAUUUUUUAUGAAACAUCAAAUGUUUGGUUAAUGUGAUGUGCAAUCAGUUACCACAGGGGUGUCGGUGGGUGGUUUGGGUUUAUCCUCCUCCUCCAUUGCGAGUUGCCCUGGCUUUUGAAGACCUGCAUGUAGAGGUAGAACAGAGCUGGAUCAAAAGUCACAAUUUCAAGAAGGAAAACCUUGAGUUGUCAAGGAAGAAUCGUGUUUUGAAGAAGAAGCUAAGAGGAAGAGAUGAGAUGAUGCUUCUUUUAGCAUUGUUGUUUGUAGGAAUUUGUGUUAUAUUGUUGUUUGUGUUGCAGUUGUAUCAGUCUACUUAGUAUGAUGUAUUUGAAGAUAAUGAUGCACUGUUGUGGUCAAGAUGAAACAUCUUAUUUUGUUUCUGCAAACUAGAUGUUUAGUUGUUCUUGACUUUCAUUAACACUUGGAGUUCCAGGAGCAGUAAGGGUGUCACUUGCUACCCUACGUCUACUGCCAGCCCUAGUUCUAGACCUUGUCCCUCCAACAGUGGGAUUAAAACAAGAUGGCUUAGAUGUAGAGGGCCUAGAAGUAGAUGGGUUGUCAAACCUGUGUGCUCUAGUUCUCUGUAUCACUGUGAUUUCUAAAUUGCAUGGCAUAGUUUCUGCAUUUGUUGCAAACAUCACACCUAACUCUGGAUCACACUAUACAGGGACCCAACAAAGAUUGCUACUAUCCCAAUAUCUCAUCUCAACAGCAUCAAACAAUCCCCAUGGAUACUUGGCACAAAUGACAGCCCUAAAAUCCUGGUAUGUAGUAGUGUUCUCCACAAACAAUGGAAAUGUGAAGCCACAAUCUUUUCCUUUAGUACCCGCAAAAACUAGAACAGUGGUCUCCAUUCUAAUAGAAAGAUAGAACGCGAUCGCUGGAUUCAUCCUAUGAUAAAAAACAUGACAUCUCCCGUGAAAAAGGAACAAAACCGAGCCUAAAGCAUCGUGGAAUCAAUCCUACAGCAGUGAACACGAGCAGAUCUAGGUCUGAUACUUACCCCGCAGGAAUUUCCCGUGCGGAUCCGCUGCCCUUGUCGUCGUGGGCACCGCCACCGUUGCCUUGUUCGUGCUCCCGUGCAUAUCCGCUGCCCUUGUCGCCGUGGAUGCCGCCACCGUCGCCUUUUCCACGCUCCCAUGCAGAUCCUCUGCCCUUGUUGUUGUGGACGCCGCCACCGUCGCCUUGCCCGUGCUCCCGUGUAGAUCCGCUGCCCUUGUUGUUGUGGACGCCGCCACCGCCGCCUUGUCUACGCUCCCGUGCAGAUCCGCUACCCUUGUCUCCAUUGGCUCCACCAACACCGCCGCCUUCUCCGCGCUCAAGUGAAGAUGUGGUGUCCCUACGGCGGCGGCCGCGGCCGCCGACGCUUUCUUCGGUCUCCCCCAUCGCCUGGCAAUGGAUCUGGCAGUGCGGAUUUCGCUGCCGCCAAGCGAGCUAGGGUUGGUGAGAGAGAAAUAGAGAUAGUGGGAAUGGUUAGGUCGACCGGGGGGCAAGCAAUGUCCAAAAUCUAGCGCUACUUACGAUCAAAUGGUGCUGACUGGACAGAGUCGUGCUGGAAGGGCAAAAACACAAGGCAAGCAAACUGAGUUGGGCAAGACCGCGUGUUUUACAAAACUACGGGUAUCCUGUCGACGGUGACACAACUAAGGGCACAAAUACAAUUAUUCCAUAAUGAAAUACAAGUUCAUACUAUUAAUCUUGUUUCACCUACUUUUUAUAUUAAGAAAGCAUAUUUUCCUGUUAGGAUUGAGGAGCACUCUAUGGUAACAAUGAUGGUUACUAAAAGCUAUAUUAGAGCAUCUAAACAUUAUUCUGAACAAAUUAAAUUUAAACCUCAAAUAGCCAUGGCUAAAGAUCUUGUAGCUGGAAAUGUUGACGGACAUGUUAUUCAAUUCUGUGACCAAGCCUCUAACGUUGUUAUGGAGAACAAAAUUGCUAGGGUUGUUGGCAUGCCUGUUAUUCGGCUAAGAUUGGCGAUCACUGUUAUCAUGAUUUAUGUGACAUGGGUGCUAGUGUAAGUGUCGUUCGUUUUUCUCUAUAUCAAGAGGUUAUACAUUUCACCUUAUGAGAUGGAAGAUAUUGAUAUUACUAUUAAACUUGCAAAUACAUAUACUAUCUCACCUCUAGGGAUUGUUAGGAUGUUGAAGUUCUUUGUGAAAAAACUAAGUAUCCUACUAAUUUCUUAGUACUUGGUUCUAAACAAGAUAACUUUUAUCCCAUAAUCUUUGAUAGACCCUUCUUGAAUACUACUAGUAUUGUUAUUGAUUGCAUAAAAGAAAAAGUUACUGUUAAGUUUGAUGGAGAAUCUCAUGAAUUUGAUUUUUCUAUAUGUAAGUUGUAGUGUCUCGCUUAGAUUCUUGCAACUUUACCACUUAUCCCUUCCAUACCUAAUGUAUUGUUAGUGUUAGUACCCUUGGUAAUGAGACUUGAGGAGUACACAAUGUACUCUUGCUACAACAAACACUUACAGAUAUGGUGAUGGACGGUGUUAGCUUGGUUGCUUUCGGGUAGCAGUCUAAGCAGGGAUAUGGACGUCAUUUUCUUUACUUUGAGCCUUCUUAAGGCAAUUGUUGUUCUUUACCUGUCUAAGAUUUAUUCGCUUCCAUUGCAUGAGUUGGAUCUUUGUCGAAAGGCCCUGGUUACUAAAUAUUUGUAAUCUGGGUUGUGAUACCAGCGCUUCAUCACAUGGCAUGCACAGUUUUCACAUGUACGUUGUGUGAAAGUGGGGGUGUUGGAACUGAUAUUAUGCGGAGGUUAGCGGAAGUUGCUAGAUCUACAUUGUGUCGGUUCACGGGCGCUACAUUGACUGCCUAAAUUUUUUCCCAUGAUAUUCUUGUUUCAUUUUAUUUUCUAUUUUUAUUUCCUUUGAACACCCUCAGAUUAAAUAUAUGAACUUGAGUGAAGGUAGUUUUGUUUUUAUCCGAAUUCAAGCGAUACUCAUCUUUAAACUUUAGUGACUUUUUUAACUUCAACGAUACAAGUGAACAUUUUUAUUUUUAUAAAUAAUCUCAGUUUUAAAUGUAACAUUUGCGAUACAAAAUCGUAAUCGUGUAUAAGUACUUUGGAACAUGAAUCUAUGUCAACAAAUUUAUGUAACACAAAGUAUAUAAGAGUAGUUUUCUUUAUGCCAACAACUUUAUGAAUCAAUGUCCUAAUGAAGCCUAAAUAUGGUGAGUAUUUUGAAACAAAUAGAGUACGAACAAGGGUUAGGUCAAACUCUACAAGUGUUAUUCUCCUCAAUGGUGUGUGCUUUCUUGUGCGGGUAAGCAGGUCGCUCAGAUGCAUUGUUUCUGCAAGCUUGUUGUAAUGGUUUUUGCUUGGUUUUUCGUUAAUUAACCAGGCAACCCUCUUCUUCUUUAUUAAUGAACCAAAAUCCUUUGAGGCCUAUUUCAAGAAGAAGAAAAUCUACGAGCUUUGAUGAUAUGAAAUUUGUAACAUAUUUUAGAUUAAACAUAGAGAAAUCAUAUAUGUUCGAUUCUUGCAAAGUAAUUUCAUAAUAUAAAAAAUUUCUAAAUUAGUACUAAUAUAUUAUUAUACCCAAUUUUGAGCUCAACUUUAGUUAUGAAAUUAGGUAAUGAACUGUGAGUUACCAUAAAAAAGAAUAGUACUCCCUCCGACCCCAUUUAAUUCACACGACCCCUUCACAUGUCCAUUCACCAUUAACACUGACAUUGCGACAGUUAAUUAGGACUAGAGGGAGUAAUAUAUUUUUUGUGGCAUGCCUAAUUCAAGAUCAAAGUUCACCUCCAGAUUCAAAACUAGGUAAGGUCCAAAUUAAUGAAGAAGAAAGUGAAAGCUUCAAACCUAAGAGGGUUUUAAGACAUUGUGAUCCUUUAUCUUCAUAUUUGUUUUUAUUAUGAACGGAGGGUCUUACUGAUCUUUUGGUGCAUGGGAAGGAGAGUGAAAAUAUUUCUGGAGCGGAGGUGUGUAGAGAUGCCCCCACUAUUACCAAUCUCCUUUUUGUUGAUGACUCAUUUAUCCUCAUGAAAGCUAAUACUCUCGGAGUCUCUGAAACAAGUUUUGGAUCAGUAUUGUAUCACCUCGGGGCAUUUGGUGAGUGUUGAUAAAUCGAGUAUGGUUUUUAGUCCAAAUACGAGAGUGGAAACCAGAGAACAAAGUUGUUCCAUUCUGAAUAUUUUGACCGAGGCUCUCAAUGAAAAAUAUUUAGGUUUACUAGCUAAUGUGGGUUUAGAUAAGACCGACUGUUUUUAAUAUCUAAUCGAUCGUAUUAUAAAGAAAAUUAGUGGCUGGAAAGAAAAAUUAUUAUCCUCGGGAGGGAAGGAAAUUCUUCUCAAGUUUGUUGUCCAAGAUAUUCCUACAUAUGGUAUAUCUGUUCUUUAAAAUUCCUAAAAAAAUUGCAAAGAAAUUAUUGACAUGAUGUCGUAGUUUUGGUGGGGAGAUGAUCAAGACCAGAGCAGAAUGCAUUGGAUGUUUUGGUGGAGUGUGUCCCAAAAAAACAAAGGAUGUGUGUGUGUUUCUAUGAUAUCCAUUAUUUUAGUUUGGCUUUGUUGGCGAAACAGGCUUCGCGUCUUCUUAAGAACCCAGACUCUUUAUCCGUCACUUUUGAGAGCUAAGUAUUUUCCUGAUGGAGAUUCACUGAUGAGUUUAAAAUGAGAUCUUUUUUCUUGGCAAAGCAUUAUGGCGGGCGUAUUCUCUGAAAAAUGGUUAUAUCUAGCGAGUUGGUAAUGAUCGGUGUAUUUGAUAUUUAGGAAGAUGCUUGGAUCCCUAAUUGUGCUAACAGAAAAGUCAUCAACCCAAAAUGAAGUCAUUGCUAUCAAAGAUAUCAGAUUUCAUUGACUAUGUCUAGCAGUAGGGAUGAAGAUUUGGUAAGACAAACAUUGUGACCAAUUGAUGUACAACGGGUCCUUUCUAUUUGUCUUCCUCAACAUGACAUGCAAGACUUUGUUGCUUGGAUCUAUACCAAGAAUGAGUUUUUAUUUUUUCUGUUUGAUCUGCCUAUUUCGUCAAAUGGGAUCACCAACAUGGAGAGAAACUUCAAGGCACCAAUGGAAUGGGUCGAACCAAUUUUAAUCCCAUUUGAUGCAAGAUUUGGAAAUUAUCUUGUCUGGCGAAGGUUAAAAUAUUUAUUUGCCGGACAUUACACGACACUCUUCCAUGUUGUGUUACGCUCGCCAAUAGAUAUCUGAAAAUUUCGCCCCUUUGCCCAUCUUGUUCUUCUGGUCUAGAAGAUACAAAACAUUUGUUGUUUCAAUGCCAGAAAGCCAAGGAGGUUUGGAGAAGGCUGAGAUUGGACAAAAUUACUGAGAACUUGUGAAGUUGACCGUGCUGGUGAUGUUGUCCUGGAAUUUUUACUUCACUUGCGAGAUCAAGAUUUAUCUGUCAUGGGCCUCCAGAAUACGCGUGAGCUGAUUGCCAUCACUGCUUAAUAUUUGUGCAUAAGGAGAAGAUUCAGGAUACUAUCCAGAUUGCUAUGGUGAUUCUUGUUCUCAUGGCUAAUUAUUUUCAUGCUUCUCCAAAUAUUUCUAUUGGUUUGUGUGUGUGUGUGUGGGGNNNNNNNNNNNNNNNNNNNNNNNNNNNNNNNNNNNNNNNNNNNNNNNNNNNNNNNNNNNNNNNNNNNNNNNNNNNNNNNNNNNNNNNNNNNNNNNNNNNNNNNNNNNNNNNNNNNNNNNNNNNNNNNNNNNNNNNNNNNNNNNNNNNNNNNNNNNNNNNNNNNNNNNNNNNNNNNNNNNNNNNNNNNNNNNNNNNNNNNNNNNNNNNNNNNNNNNNNNNNNNNNNNNNNNNNNNNNNNNNNNNNNNNNNNNNNNNNNNNNNNNNNNNNNNNNNNNNNNNNNNNNNNNNNNNNNNNNNNNNNNNNNNNNNNNNNNNNNNNNNNNNNNNNNNNNNNNNNUCAUUACAGGGAAACUGGAGAGUAGAUUGGAGUAGAUUGGAAGCUUUGGCGCUUAGGUUCGGUCUAUGCCUUGCUCAAAGGGCAGGGUGCAUUCGUCUGGUUAUUAACUCUUGAUGAUUUGAAGGUGAUUGACACAAUGAAAAAUGGAGGGCCGUCGUUGGGUGCGGCGGUGUUUGACGAUUGUUAUUAUUUGGCUUCUCAUUAUCAUCUUUCUUGUAUUGAAGGUGAUUGACACAAUGAAAAAUGGAGGGCGUCGUUGGGUGCGGCGGUGUUUGACGAUUGUUAUUAUUUGGCUUCUCAUUAUCAUCUUUCUUGUAUUGAUUUUUGUAGUAGAGAAGUGCAUGAGCUUGCUAGGUUGGCUAGAUUUUCUCCAACAUGGAUUGAGGAGCCUUUGAAUGAAACUGUUAUUUCAAGUGAAUAAAGGCUAGGUUUUUUUUAUAAAAAAAAGGUAGUUGCAAGUAAUCAACAAUUGUUUCAAGUGAAUAAAGGCUAGGUUUUUUAAAAAAAAAGGUAGUGGCAAGUAAUCAACAAUCGUGAUCAAGAUUAUGUUCUGGAUCAGCUCCUGAGAACUUGAGAGAUUAUUAUAUCACCGAAUGGGUAUGCAAGUGUUGAGCCAUACUAAAUCACUUAAUUGCCAUCUAAGUGAAUUCAUUCAUAACUUUCUGUGAGGGCUCGGCAAACACAACAUUCACAGAAUUAUAAUGCAUGAUGAAUACCUGUGUAAAUGAAUAUCCUGUUGAUGCUGUUAUAUGUCCAGUUGAAACACAUUCCAAGAAAUUUUACAUUUGUGAUGAUAAGCAGAUUUAACACACUUUAAAAAGGGAAAGAAAACAGAACACCGUACGGGCUAACAAAUGGGGCCGCAGAUAAUUUUUCCUGAUACAACUGCAUAUUUGAAUUCUUUGUGCCGCCUUGCUGGCUUUGUAGUCA
Molecule: long non-coding RNA, 20276 nt
Filed under: Triticum aestivum (bread wheat)
Lineage: Eukaryota; Viridiplantae; Streptophyta; Magnoliopsida; Poales; Poaceae
Description: long non-coding RNA (TAES_LNC001290)
Source: RNAcentral